UACGUAGGGUGCAAGCGUUAAUCGGAAUUACUGGGCGUAAAGCGUGCGCAGGCGGUUUUGUAAGUCUGUCGUGAAAUCCCCGGGCUCAACCUGGGAAUGGCAAUGGAUACUGGCAAGCUAGAGUGUGUCAGAGGAUGGUGGAAUUCCCGGUGUAGCGGUGAAAUGCGUAGAGAUCGGGAGGAACAUCAGUGGCGAAGGCGGCCAUCUGGGUCAAGACUGACGCUCAUGCACGAAAGCGUGGGGAGCAAACAGG
Molecule: ribosomal RNA, 253 nt
Filed under: uncultured bacterium
Lineage: Bacteria
Description: partial 16S ribosomal RNA
Rfam family: Bacterial small subunit ribosomal RNA
Source: RNAcentral